GGAUAAUCUGCCCUCAGGUGAGGAAUGAUCCCGGGAAACUGGGGCUAAUGCCUCAUAGGAGACGGGUGCUGGAAUGCUCUGUCUCCGAAAGGUCCGCCGCCUGAGGAUGAGUCUGCGUCCGAUUAGGUUGUUGUUGGGGUAACGGCCCAACAAGCCUUUGAUCGGUACGGGUUGUGGGAGCAAGAGCCCGGAGAUGGAUUCUGAGACAUGAAUCCAGGCCCUACGGGGCGCAGCAGGCGCGAAAACUUUACAAUGCGAGCAAUCGUGAUAAGGAAACCCUGAGUGCCUGUCAAUGCAGGCUGUUCUGGUGUCUAACACACACCAGGAGAAAGGGCGGGGCAAGACCGGUGCCAGCCGCCGCGGUAAUACCGGCUGCUCGAGUGAUAGCCACUUUUACUGGGCUUAAAGCGUUCGUAGCUUGGUCGUUAAGUCUCUGGGGAAAUCUUUUGGCUCAACCAAAAGGCGUCUCAGGGAAACUGGCGAUCUUGGAACCGGGAGAGGUAAGACGUACUUCGGGGGUAGGAGUGAAAUCUUGUAAUCCCCGAGGGACGACCGAUGGCGAAGGCAUCUUACCAGAACGGCUUCGACAGUGAGGGACGAAAGCUGGGGGAGCAAACCGGAUUAGAUACCCGGGUAGUCCCAGCCGUAAACGAUGUGCGUUAGGUGUGUCAGUGACCACGAGUCGCUGAGGUGCCGAAGGGAAACCGUGAAACGCACCGCCUGGGAAGUACGGUCGCAAGGCUGAAACU
This 749-nucleotide ribosomal RNA is filed under the name uncultured Methanocalculus sp. RNAcentral describes it as "bacterial SSU rRNA". It matches the Rfam family "Archaeal small subunit ribosomal RNA", at positions 102 to 856 of the family's 1478-position model. Lineage: Archaea; Methanobacteriati; Methanobacteriota; Methanomicrobia; Methanomicrobiales; Methanocalculaceae. The record is from RNAcentral.